This 97-nucleotide signal recognition particle RNA is filed under the name Lysobacter soyae. RNAcentral describes it as "Lysobacter sp. CJ11 signal recognition particle sRNA small type". It matches the Rfam family "Bacterial small signal recognition particle RNA". From Rfam's summary of the family: The signal recognition particle (SRP) is a universally conserved ribonucleoprotein involved in the co-translational targeting of proteins to membranes. Archaeal SRP consists of a 7S RNA and homologues of the eukaryotic SRP19 and SRP54 proteins. In most bacteria, the SRP consists of a 4.5S RNA and the Ffh protein (a homologue of the eukaryotic SRP54 protein). The record is from RNAcentral. Lineage: Bacteria; Pseudomonadati; Pseudomonadota; Gammaproteobacteria; Lysobacterales; Lysobacteraceae.
CCGUCGGCCCCUCGCGACACUAACCUGAAAACCCCGCCAGGGCCGGAAGGCAGCAACGGUAUCAGGUGACGUGGGUGCCGAGGAUCGUUGGCGGGGC